UAAUACGGAGGGUGCGAGCGUUGUCCGGAAUCAUUGGGCGUAAAGGGCGCGUAGGUGGCCCAGCAAGCGUGCGGUGAAAGCUCGGGGCUCAACCCCGGGUCGGCCGUGCGAACUGCGGGGCUGGAGCACUGUAGAGGCAGGCGGAAUUCCGGGUGUAGCGGUGGAAUGCGUAGAGAUCCGGAAGAACACCGGUGGCGAAGGCGGCCUGCUGGGCAG
This 216-nucleotide ribosomal RNA is filed under the name uncultured bacterium. RNAcentral describes it as "partial 16S ribosomal RNA". It matches the Rfam family "Bacterial small subunit ribosomal RNA", at positions 521 to 736 of the family's 1533-position model. The record is from RNAcentral.